CUGCAGACCUUUUCCAGCGAGGCUCAGCCUGCAGUGGCUCCUUCCUUUCCUGUAGUGUCUGCUAGAGAGAUGUGAGGCUGUUUGAGGCCCUGCUGUGUCUCCUCAUGGCAGGGUUAUAGGUAAACCUCCAACAACC
This 136-nucleotide small nucleolar RNA is filed under the name Sparus aurata (gilthead seabream). Its description in RNAcentral is "Small nucleolar RNA SNORA9 (ENSSAUG00010027526.1)". It matches the Rfam family "Small nucleolar RNA SNORA9". Rfam says of the family: ACA9 is a member of the H/ACA class of snoRNA that guide the sites of modification of uridines to pseudouridines. The record is from Rfam by way of RNAcentral. Lineage: Eukaryota; Metazoa; Chordata; Actinopteri; Spariformes; Sparidae.